Molecule: ribosomal RNA, 388 nt
Filed under: Tropiocolotes nubicus
Lineage: Eukaryota; Metazoa; Chordata; Lepidosauria; Squamata; Gekkonidae
Description: partial 12S ribosomal RNA
Rfam family: Bacterial small subunit ribosomal RNA
Source: RNAcentral
CUAGCCAUAAACCUUGAUAGUAAAUAACCCACUAUCCGCCAGAGAACUACCAGCAAAAAGCUCAAAACUCAAAGGACUUGACGGUGUCCCAAACCGACCUAGAGGAGCCUGUCCUAUAAUCGAUAACCCACGUUACACCCGACCUGCCCUAGCAACCACAGCCUAUAUACCGCCGUCUCUUGCCCACCUAAUGAUAGACACCCAGUGAGCACAACAGUUUCACACUAAAACGUCAGGUCAAGGUGUAGCUAAUGAGCAGGAAGAGAUGGGCUACAUUUUCUCACCACCAGAAAAAACCACCAGCACCAUGAAAUACCUGCAACCAAGGAGGAUUUAGCAGUAAGCCUGGCAAGACCCGUCAGCCAGACUGAAGCCCAGCUCUGGGACA